This 255-nucleotide unclassified non-coding RNA is filed under the name Zea mays. RNAcentral describes it as "misc RNA Zm00001eb263950". Lineage: Eukaryota; Viridiplantae; Streptophyta; Magnoliopsida; Poales; Poaceae. The record is from RNAcentral.
CUGAACCCGUCGGCUGCUGGCGGAAUGCUUGAGCUGCUCGCGCGGCGAGAGCGGGUCGCCGCGUGCCGGCCGGGGGACGGACCGGGAACGGCCCCCUCGGGGGCCUUCCCCGGGCGUCGAACAACCGACUCAGAACUGGUCUCCUCGGCUGAGCCCCGCACCCCCUCGCGGCCUAGCCGUGGCCGGUCAGCACCCUACCGCGCCCAGCUCCGGCUGGCGCUGUUGGCUGCCUGGCCGGCCGUGGUUCGGCCGUGA